CCCAUUUCAGUGUGUUAAUUGAUCAGAAACAGGUCUUCCUGCUCAUCUCAGCCUUCUCUUCUGCUGAUGCAGCCGUUCUGAGGAGAGACGAUCAGGAGCAGCUGCUUGCUGAUCAGAAGCUGCUGCCCAAACGAUCCGGCUGCUGGCGGAUGCCCGGUGGCUGCUCAAUCUUUGGAAAGGUUCAUCCACCAACUUCUCCACCGAUGAUUAAGGAAGAAAUAAUAAAGAAGAUUAAAAACGAUCCAAGCAGUCUGAUAUCAGAACAGAAGUGAGACAUAAGAAGCAUGAAUCUUUUCCUCAAGAAAGCUGUUCUCUUUUGCUUUACCAUUUACCGAUUUGGUGACAAUAAUCAAUAAAUACGUGAUCAAUACCCCGUACUCCCAUGCAGAAAGAAAUGACAGCAAUCCCAGAAUUGUUAGACAUUGAAACAUUUUAAUUGUUUCUCAUAUAAAUUACUUUUUUGGCAGAUUUUUUUUUAUCAUAAAUUACAGUGAGUUCAAAUUGUUGUUAUUUUGUUCUCUAGUUCUGUUGAAAAAAUAAAUGUUUUGUUUUCAAAAUAAAAUGUAAUGGCUACCCUCAAUCAAUCAAUUACAUUUAUAAGUACCAGGACUGAAUUAUUAGAGAAGCAAAUUAAGUGCACAUUUAUUCAGACUAGUACUUCUAAUAUUGUUGAAAAUCUGCUCAGUAAAUGUUAUAAUUCUAGAAAUUGCUUUCAAAUGUCUCCCAUUAUUAGGAUGG
This is a long non-coding RNA of Gasterosteus aculeatus aculeatus (three-spined stickleback), 738 nucleotides long. Lineage: Eukaryota; Metazoa; Chordata; Actinopteri; Perciformes; Gasterosteidae. The record is from Ensembl.